This is a long non-coding RNA of Panthera uncia (snow leopard), 274 nucleotides long. RefSeq lists it as uncharacterized. The record is from RefSeq and is a predicted model, not a curated record. The transcript is spliced from 3 exons. Lineage: Eukaryota; Metazoa; Chordata; Mammalia; Carnivora; Felidae.
AGAGAGCAGGAGGUCACACGGCCCGGGGACAGAGGGCAGGAGGUCACAUGGCCUGGGGACAGAGAACAGUAGGUCACAUGGCCUGGGGACAGAGGGCAGGAGGUCACUCGGCCUGGGGACAGAAGGCAGGAGGCCACACGGCCUGGGGUCAGAGAGCAGGAGGCCACACGGCCCGAGGACAGAGAGCAGGAGGCCACACGGCCCGGGGACAGAGAGCAGGAGGUCACACGGCCCGGGGACAGAGGGCAGGAGGUCACUCGGCCCGGGGACAGAG